Molecule: transfer RNA, 118 nt
Filed under: Clostridiales bacterium
Lineage: Bacteria; Bacillati; Bacillota; Clostridia; Eubacteriales
Description: tRNA-OTHER
Rfam family: tRNA
About the family: Transfer RNA (tRNA) molecules are approximately 80 nucleotides in length. Their secondary structure includes four short double-helical elements and three loops (D, anti-codon, and T loops). Further hydrogen bonds mediate the characteristic L-shaped molecular structure. tRNAs have two regions of fundamental functional importance: the anti-codon, which is responsible for specific mRNA codon recognition, and the 3' end, to which the tRNAs corresponding amino acid is attached (by aminoacyl-tRNA synthetases). tRNAs cope with the degeneracy of the genetic code in two manners: having more than one tRNA (with a specific anti-codon) for a particular amino acid; and 'wobble' base-pairing, i.e. permitting non-standard base-pairing at the 3rd anti-codon position.
Source: RNAcentral
UGGUCGGUAGCUCAGUUGGUAGAGCGUAUCCAAGUGCUAAUGCGUCUUGACAAAGGCGCUUACAGCAAUCCUUGCCAAUUUGGGGAUAAGGUUAUGGGUUCAAGUCCCAUCCGACCAG